This 580-nucleotide ribosomal RNA is filed under the name Glomeromycotina sp. RNAcentral's name for it is "eukaryotic LSU rRNA". It matches the Rfam family "Eukaryotic large subunit ribosomal RNA", at positions 110 to 629 of the family's 3401-position model. Lineage: Eukaryota; Fungi; Glomeromycota. The record is from RNAcentral.
CAAAUUUAAAAUCUACCUGGUUUCCAGGUCGAGUUGUAAUUUGAAGAUACGUUUUUGACGUUCCGGGUUGAACUAAAUCCUUUGGGAUAAGGUAUCAUGGAGGGUGAGAAUCCCGUAUAUACCAACCGUAGGGAUGUUAUUUAAUACGUUUCUAAGAGUCGAGUUGUUUGGGAAUGCAGCUCUAAAUGGGUGGUAAAUUUCACCUAAUGCUAAAUAUAAGCGAGAGACCGAUAGCGAACAAGUACAGUGAUGGAAAGAUGAAAAGAACUUUGAAAAGAGAGUUAAAUAGUAYGUGAAAUUGUUGAAAGGGAAACGAUUGAAGUCAGUCAUGCCVGUGGGAAUCAACUUWGAGGAAACUCUGAGUGCACUUCUUCGCUUGGCAGGUCAACGUCGAUUUUGGAUGUCAUAAAAUGAUUGGGGGAAGGUAGCUCYUUCGGGAGUGUUAUAGCCCUUGGUAGAUGUGAUGUCUGGGAUCGAGGAUUGCAAUGGAUACCCUUUGGGGCUAGCCGCCUGAUCUCUAAUYGGUAUUGGGUUACGGAUAGCAUGCUGACCGUGAUCUAAUUAUUGGUUAAAAGGUUAG